AGAGCGAACGCUGGCGGCAUGCUUAACACAUGCAAGUCGCACGAAGGUUUCGGCCUUAGUGGCGGACGGGUGAGUAACGCGUAGGUAUCUAUCCACGGGUGGGGGAUAACAGCGGGAAACUGCUGCUAAUACCGCAUGAAGCCUGAGGGCCAAAGGCGCAAGUCGCCUGUGGAGGAGCCUGCGUACGAUUAGCUAGUUGGUGGGGUAACUGCCUACCAAGGCGACGAUCGUUAGCUGGUCUGAGAGGAUGAUCAGCCACAUUGGGACUGAGACACGGCCCAAACUCCUACGGGAGGCAGCAGUGGGGAAUAUUGGACAAUGGGGGCAACCCUGAUCCAGCAAUGCCGCGUGUGUGAAGAAGGUCUUCGGAUUGUAAAGCACUUUCGACGGGGACGAUGAUGACGGUACCCGUAGAAGAAGCCCCGGCUAACUUCGCGCCAGCAGCCGC
This 448-nucleotide ribosomal RNA is filed under the name uncultured bacterium. Its description in RNAcentral is "SSU rRNA". It matches the Rfam family "Bacterial small subunit ribosomal RNA", at positions 26 to 518 of the family's 1533-position model. The record is from RNAcentral.